AGUGAACGCUGGCGGUAGGCCUAACACAUGCAAGUCGAACGGCAGCACAGGAAGAGCUUGCUCUUACGGGUGGCGAGUGGCGGACGGGUGAGGAAUACAUCGGAAUCUACUUUUUCGGGGGGGAUAACGUAGGGAAACUUACGCUAAUACCGCAUACGACCUACGGGUGAAAGCAGUGGAGCUUCGGACCUUGGGCGAUUGAUUUAGCCGAUGUCGGAUUAGCUAGUUGGCGGGGUAAAGGCCCACCAAGGCGACGAUCCGUAGCUGGUCUGAGAGGAUGAUCAGCCACACUGGAACUGAGACACGGUCCAGACUCCUACGGGAGGCAGCAGUGGGGAAUAUUGGACAAUGGGCGCAAGCCUGAUCCAGCCAUACCGCGUGGGUGAAGAAGGUCUUCGGGUUGUAAAGCCCUUUUGUUGGGAAAGAAAAGCAGCAGGUUAAUACCCCGCUGUUCUGACGGUACCCAAAGAAUAAGCAACGGCUAACUUCGUG
This 492-nucleotide ribosomal RNA is filed under the name uncultured bacterium. Its description in RNAcentral is "partial 16S ribosomal RNA". It matches the Rfam family "Bacterial small subunit ribosomal RNA", at positions 29 to 507 of the family's 1533-position model. The record is from RNAcentral.